Long non-coding RNA from Ipomoea triloba (trilobed morning glory), 142 nucleotides. RefSeq lists it as uncharacterized. The record is from RefSeq and is a predicted model, not a curated record. The transcript is spliced from 2 exons. NCBI's taxonomy places the organism in Eukaryota, Viridiplantae, Streptophyta, Magnoliopsida, Solanales, Convolvulaceae.
UGACACACUUAUGGCUCACACUGCUGGUUGUUAUUGCAUUGCAAUUGACCCACUUGGAAGAUAUUUUGCUGUUGGAAGUGCUGAUUCCUUAGUCAGCCUUUGGGAUAUUAAGGAAAUGCUCUGUGUUCGAACAUUUACAAAA